CAGCCGCCACGGUAAUACGAGGGGGGCAAGCGUUGUUCGGAAUUAUUGGGCGUAAAGGGUGCGUAGGCGGCUUGACAAGUCUUGUGUGAAAUCUAUGGGCUCAACCCAUAGUCUGCACGGGAAACUGCCGGGCUUGAGUAUGGGAGAGGUGAGUGGAAUUUCCGGUGUAGCGAUGAAAUGCGUAGAUAUCGGAAGGAACACCUGUGGCGAAAGCGGCUCACUGGACCAUUACUGACGCUGAGGCGCGAAAGCUAGGGGAGCAAACAGGAUUAGAUACCCCCGUAGUCCCUGUCUCUUAUAC
Molecule: ribosomal RNA, 301 nt
Filed under: uncultured bacterium
Lineage: Bacteria
Description: partial 16S ribosomal RNA
Rfam family: Bacterial small subunit ribosomal RNA
Source: RNAcentral